UGAGGAAUAUUGGUCAAUGGGCGAGAGCCUGAACCAGCCAAGUAGCGUGCAGGAUGACGGCCCUAUGGGUUGUAAACUGCUUUUAUGUGGGGAUAAAGUGCGUGACGUGUCAUGCAUUGCAGGUACCACAUGAAUAAGGACCGGCUAAUUCCGUGCCAGCAGCCGCGGUAAUACGGAAGGUCCGGGCGUUAUCCGGAUUUAUUGGGUUUAAAGGGAGCGUAGGCUGUCUAUUAAGCGUAUUGUGAAAUAUACCGGCUCAACCGGUGGCUUGCAGCGCGAACUGGUCGACUUGAGUAUGCAGGAAGUAGGCGGAAUUCAUGGUAGAGCGGUGAAAUGCUUAGAUAUCAUGACGAACUCCGAUUGCGCAGGCAGCUUACUGUAACAUAACUAACGCUGAUUCUCGAAAGUGCGGGUAUCAAACAUG
RNAcentral lists this ribosomal RNA (424 nucleotides) under Fusobacteriota bacterium. RNAcentral describes it as "Fusobacteria bacterium partial 16S ribosomal RNA". It matches the Rfam family "Bacterial small subunit ribosomal RNA", at positions 355 to 776 of the family's 1533-position model. Lineage: Bacteria; Fusobacteriati; Fusobacteriota. The record is from RNAcentral.